Long non-coding RNA from Dalotia coriaria, 2117 nucleotides. RefSeq lists it as uncharacterized. NCBI's taxonomy places the organism in Eukaryota, Metazoa, Arthropoda, Insecta, Coleoptera, Staphylinidae. The transcript is spliced from 3 exons. The record is from RefSeq and is a predicted model, not a curated record.
CUUUUGAUUCUAUUUAUUCCAACUAUGCUUAUAGAUUUUUGUUUAAUGUAUGCAACCAGAUUAACAUUCUGUCAUAAAUUUUCAGCUCUAAUUUGCUGUUUUUGUCAGUGGCAAAUUUCUACAAGUAAUUGUUGCUUUAUACUUAAUUGACGAUUAAUAUUUGCCGUAAAACUAUAUCAAGUGCUUCAGUUAAAGAAUAUAUUAACAAACUCUAAUAGAAAUCACGUUUUAAACCGAAUUUAGGUUACACCAUCGCAAAUGAUUCCAAACCAGUUAUUCGUAUUCCAUUGUUUCUACAUUAAGCACGAGGCAAAGAAACAAAAAAGCGACCGUGAGCGCAAUGUGCUUUUCCGUCUCGACGCUCAGCACCAGCAGAUAACUCAACUAUUUUCGCAUUUUCACACCGGCGUGUGCGAGAGAGGGUGGUGUUCUUUUCAUUUCGCCCUCGCGGCGAAUGGUUUUCAUCUUGAUCUUGGAUCUUGGCGUUUGUUCAAAAUUAUAGAAAAGUUAUUAAGGCAUGUCGUCUUCUUCCCCGCGUGCUGUUCAUAAUCUGUGAUAUUUCACAGGAAUAUUAACGGUUCAAGAUGUCUGCCACGUCUAUUCUACCUUUGUUUCUUUUGCUUGUUUUGCAAUUGUCGGAAAACUAAUAAGUGGAAUCACAUCACAAAGUAAUACUACUGUAAUCGAAGUAGUAGUCUUUCAAAAAUACACUUUAACGCCAUCUAGAUUCAAAUUUUAUAACUAAAACUACGAUAAAAUCUCUAUAUUAACUUUAAUCCUUUAUUUUGCACCUUUGCAGUUAAAUAUUUACGAUAAAAAGUCGCUCAUUUCUUUUUCCAAAGUCAAAAGUAUCUCCAUGCUAAAAUUUAUCAAAAUAUGUUCUGUGAAUUUUGCGCGAAAGCGUCACAAACAUACAAAUGCAUACAAAUGCAAUUAUUCGGAAAACUAAUACGCGGAAUCACAUCACAAAGUAAUCCUACUGUAAUAAUACAAGUAGUCUGUUAGACAUUAAAUUGACGAAGGCAUUUCUCAAUGUUUCUUCGUUCGAGGAUAUUUCUUUCUAAGCGCGCGCCCGCCUUAGAAGAAAAACGAAAUAAAUGGUUUAAACUCUCGUGCUCGCGCGCUCGAGCAAUUUGAAUAUAUAUGUUUCGAGAAGUCGUAAAUUUCCCAACUAAUGCUCGACGUCUCGUUGAAGUGUGCGCGCGUGUGUUGGGGGUGGCAGGUUGCGGGGGUUGUAGCGAAGAAGGAAGCAUUCUUUUACGCGCGCCGCGCGCUUCCAGCGACAGAAUUAUUACUACUUCAUCACUCUCGAGGAAACGCUGAAACGAAACAAGACAAGAUGAAAUACUUAACCGACGCUCUCUCUGCGAACGCAACGGAACGGCUCUCCUUGACGUCGAAGAGGAGUUAAUUAAAAAUAUAAAUAACCAGCGACAUUUUAUUGGUUCACUUCAAAAAUAUGUGUAGUGCACACUGUGUAUGAGUUAUACUUAUACAACAUGGCGUCAUUAUUAUGACAUACUGCGCAUGCGCACAACGUGUAACCUUUAAUUUUGACAGUUGGUGUGUCAAACUAUAACCAACUAUUACAUUCACUUCAAAUCAUUUUUACUAUUUUAUUUAAUAAAUACAAACUUAAAACAUUUUUUGUUUUUCAAAAAUAACACUUAGCGCAAACAAUAUAAAAAUAAAUGAACCGAUUUCAUUCUUUCAAGGACACAAACACUCAUUAAGUAACUUACAAUUACACACAACUCAAGAUUAUUUACAAAAUAUAUGAAAUGAAUGCUUAUUUAAUAAGUCUAUGGACUAACGGAAUUGGGACCUAGGGUCUUCAUAAGUUUAUAACAAUCUUGCAGUCGCUUCUUAUCCCCGAUGCGCUCCAAGGUCUUCGCUGCCUCGGCGAGCAUACCGGCGCGCUCUCCCGGUAGGGAGAUCAACUGCCCCGGGAGAUGCCUGCAGGCGAGAUACAAAGCGGCGGCAUGCUGCCGCUCCCCGCCCAACUGCUGUUGAUUCUUGUCUGUCAACAAACACACCGCAAAAAAUUAAACUCAUCAUAAGCCUCAUGAAAUAUUCAUUGCGCAGAUGAUGUGCAAAUAAAAAUUAGCAAACGCAAA